Molecule: unclassified non-coding RNA, 381 nt
Filed under: uncultured Elusimicrobia bacterium
Lineage: Bacteria; Pseudomonadati; Elusimicrobiota; Elusimicrobia
Description: contains 16S-23S intergenic spacer region
Source: RNAcentral
UCCACGUUAUCCGCGGCAGUCUCCCAAGAGUCCUCCCCUUGCGGGGUAGCAACAUGGGACGGGGGUUGCGCUCGUUGCGGGACUUAACCCAACAUCUCACGACACGAGCUGACGACAACCAUGCAGCACCUCGGCUGGCUCCCUUGCGGGUCAUCCCGUAUUUCUACAGGACUAACACCAGUCGUUCGAGCCCAGGUAAGGUUUUUCGCGUAGCGUCGAAUUAAACCACAUGCUCCACCGCUUGUGCGGGUCCCCGUCAAUUCCUUUGAGUUUUAACCUUGCGGCCGUACUCCCCAGGCGGGACACUUAAUGCGUUAGCGUCGGCACGGAAGGGGUUGAUACCUCCCACACCUAGUGUCCAUCGUUUACAGCUAGGACUAC